This 7366-nucleotide long non-coding RNA is filed under the name Brassica napus (rape). RNAcentral's name for it is "long non-coding RNA (BNAP_LNC003984)". The record is from RNAcentral. Lineage: Eukaryota; Viridiplantae; Streptophyta; Magnoliopsida; Brassicales; Brassicaceae.
AUUACGGGUGUAGGGUUUAGGAUUAAGGAUUUAGAGUUUAUGGUUUAGGAUUAAGGGUUUAGGAUUUUCCCAAGAGUUCAGGGUUUAUGGUUUAGCGUUCAGUGUUUAGAAUUUAGGGUUUAGGAUUUAGUAUUAGGGUUUAGGAUUAAGGGUUUCGGAUUUAGGGUUUGGUUUAGGGUUUAAAAUUAAGGGUUUUGGAUUUGCCAAGGGUUCAAGGUUUAUCCAAAGAUUUAGGGUCUAGUGUUUAGAGUUUAAGGUUUAGAGUUUAAUAUUUUACUAAUAGGUAUAACAAUACUAAAAAAUAUUUUUAUGGUAAUUACUAUUAAUUUUUUUAUUUUAAAAACAUAAAAUAAUUUCACAAAUUUUUUAUUAUUUGGUUUCCUUUUUUAAAAGAUAUUAAAUCUAAAAUAACUCAAUCCUAUUGGUUGGGUGAACCUCUAGACACACCUAGGAGUGAACCUAAGAAUCUAUACUAUUAAAAUAGAAAUACAAAUAAGAAUUAACUCUUAAACUUACAGCUAUGCCACUGAAGUAAUUAAUAACCCUAAAGUAUUUAUUGUAUUUUCCUUAUUUAGUUAAAAUUAAAAUACUAUAAUUCCUAUAAUCAAUUAGCUAACCAACUAAUUUACCAUAUUUUGAUAUUCUAUGCAAUCAAUUAUUUAAUCUUUAAUUUCUAUUUUUGUUAUUGCAUUUAUGUUGUAAGUAAAAAAAUACUCCUACUUGUGAUUGAAAGAUACUGACAAACACAUGCGUUCUCUUUAUUUAAGUCCAGUAUAACAAUAUAAAAUGCUAGAUUAAACAAAAAAUCUGAAUUUCACAUCUUCUCUUUGCAGACGAUAGUCUAUUAUUCUGCAAAACGAAUCCAGCAAUGUGCUGAGUUGAUGAGGAUCAUAACAGUGAAUGGGAAGGCUUCGGGACAGCAAUUAAACCCUGAUAAAUCAUCUAUCUUGUGUGGUAGUAAAGUCGGCUAGAGAUAAAAAGAGCUCAAGCAAACGCUGGGUAUCCAAAAGUGAUGCAUGCUUGAGUGGCGCACCGGGCAAAAUAGACAUGCAUGGCUUGAUCAUGGAAAGCAGUAAUGAUAUAUGUUCAUUGUUUGAUUCAUACCUUCCAAAACACGAGUUCUCUACGCAUGAAAUCACUUUGAGAAUUUUCUCAACUCAAUUACGGAGCUCCUCGAAGAAGAAUCAGAUCAAACGGAGUUCAGAUGUGGGAGUUAUGCAAUUUUAAAAUCAGUAGACUUUCAGUUCUUGCGAAUUUGGGCCGUACGGAUUGUCCAGUCCACAUCUUGAUCCUUACCGCGAAGGAACCACUUGGUUCAGACGAACCUGGACGUUAGCCGAAGAGUCUCUUUGACCGGAUCUGAGAUCAAAGAGUUUUAAUACAUUGUCUUUAAAUUUUUCAUCUAGAUUCGAUUUACUAAGUUUGUCUUUAAUACAUUCUUAAGUCUUUUUCUAUUCUUCAAGUAGUAUAAAUAUGUAAACUCUUUUAUGAAUAAAUGCAGUCUAAGUUUGAGUUUAUUUUGGUUUUCUUCUUUUCUCUGAGUGAGAGAGAGAGAGAGAGAGAGUUCUUUAGCUGUUCAUUGGUGUGAACCGGCUUGUUGAUUUGGUGGUCAGCCAAUUCAUUUUUGUGUGUUGUUUGGUGGUUAGCCAACACAAUACAUUCUUUCUUUGGUGGUUAGCCUUUGAUUGUGGGUAUAUCAAGAGCCAUUCUGCAUCUCUUGACAAUCCUUUCAAUCCAUAUCAGUUCCAAAAGUGUCGUUUGCCUUCUCGGAUCAUAUCCAACACCCAGGUAAAGUGAUCCUUCAAUUCAGGUUGUAUCAAGUGGUAUCAGAGCCACUUUGGCUGGUUUGUUUUCAUUUCAUCUUUUCAUCUUCUCAUCUCUCCACAAAUUUCUUUUCUUAUUUCUUGGAUCCGGGCUGUUCCGUUACUCCAUUGUGAUCGCCUAUUAUAAAAACAAAUAAAAAAACGAGAAAAAAAGUUUUUACUUGAAUCACUUCUGAAGAGAAAUCCAGGGGGAGUGGUGGAAGAGAAACCCUGCUGGCUGAAGAGAAACCCAGCCUUAGAACAGUUAAGGCGGAUCCACAUAAAAAUCUUUUCAUCUUUCUUUCUCUCUUUACCCUUAAAAAUUGUUUUGGGUUUUGAUUGCUGAAUUUUGACAGCCUAUCAUCCUUUGAACCAGUAAAAAAAAACUCUGAGUGAUCACCUAAAAAUCGUGAGCUAAACACUUUGAGAGUGUGAGGAUUUUUAUUUGCUAACUCUUUUGUUAAGUGUUUUCAGGAUAUUUGGACUUCACAAGAAAUCAAAUUAGGCUUCAAAACUACAACAAGAUGUUUACUAUCCUUUUAAAACCGUGCUUGAAAAAAAAGCAAUUGAUUUUUGGAGAUAAGAAACAUUUUACUUCUAAUGGGUUUGAUUCUGUACAGAAACAAAGAAACCAAAGAAAGAGACAAAACAGGUUCGAUGAUGAUGAGAAGAGGGUCAGAAAUGGUGGUCGUCCCUUCACCAAGGCCAAGAGAAGCAAUUGUGAUGUGCUUGACCGGAACGAGCUUCAGACUUAUACCAGUUUGGAGAAGAUGUUGCAUAAGGAAAUUUUUGCUAUUCAGCAACUCAAAAGGAAGAGAAAUACCAACACUUCUUCUGCACCAAAACAACAAUGUAAGUUUUCUUCUCUUUCAAAUUCCGAUUUGAAAACUAAUGUGUUUUCUUUUGAUAAAAGCAAAGCUGUGAAACCCACAAGCAAAGCUCAUUCUACCAGGUGCUUCAAAUGCCAUAGGAUCGGUCAUUAUGCUAACAAGUGCCAGAAUCAGAAACCGUUGGUGACUUUGGAGAAUAAGAACGUUGAAACCAAGCCAGAAAAGGAAGAAUUUUCAAACCCAUAGCCAAUUUUCGAUGACUACACACAUGAGCCAAUGGCAGAUUUGAAAUCUUGUGAACAUAAGAACUUAUUUUCUCCUCAAUAUGAAUCAAUACCUGAUGAAUCUUGCUUGCAAUUAACUGUUUUACAACCAGAGAAUCCAAAUAGUUUUGAAUUAAUUUCUCAGUUUGAAAAAGAUUCUGAAAACGUUUUGAACAAGGAAGAUUUUUCUGGUCCUUUGAAUGCUCUUGAUAUUGGUGCAUAUGACCUUGGUCUUGGAAGCUUUGUGUUAAUGCAGGAAGGGCCAGAUGAAGAACAAAACUGUGGUCAUCAAGCAAACAAAGAAAGCUCUUCCUCCAUUCAAAAACCGGACCAAACUCAAGGUGAGCAAUGUUCUGAUUAUGAUCCCUUUGUUAUAACCCUUUUCCUUUUAAUGUUCCAGAUUUGAAGACAAAUCUUUUUGAAGAGCGAGGUAAUGAUGCGUCCUUGAGUAGCGCACCGGGCAAAACAGACAUGCAUGGCUUGAUCAUGGAAAGCAGUAAUGAUAUAUGUUCAUUGUUUGACACAUAUCUUCCAAAAUUCGAGUCCUAUGCGCAUGAAAUCACUUGGAGAAUGUUCUGAAUUCAAUUACGGAGCUCCUCGAAGAAGAAUCAGAUCAAACAGAGUUCAGAUGUGGGAGUUAUGCAAUUUGCAAAUCAGGAGACCUUCAGUUCUCGCGAAUUUGAGCCAUACGGAUCGUCCAACCCACAUCUUGAUCCUUACCGCGAAGGAACCACUUGGUUCAGACGAACCUGGACGUUAGCCGAAGAGUCUUUUUGACUAGAUCUGAGAUCCAAGAGUUUUAAUACAUUGUCUUUAAAUUUUUCAUCUAGAUUCGAUUUACUAAGUUUGUCUUUAAUACAUUCUUAAGUCUUUUUCUAUUACUCAAGUAGUAUAAAUAUGUAAACUCUUUUAUUAAUAAUGGCAGUCUAAGUUUGAGUUUAUUUUGGUUCUCUUCUUUUCUCUGAGUGAGAGAGAGAGAGUUCUUUAGCUAGUUCAUUGGUGUGAACCGGCUUGUUGAUUUGGUGGUCAGCCAAUUCAUCUUUGUGUGUUGUUUGGUAGUUAGCCAACACACUACAUUCUUUCUUGGGUGGUUAGCCUUAGAUCGUGGGUAUAUCAAGAGCCAUUCCGCAUCUCUUGACGAUCCUUUCAAUCCAUAUCAGUUCCAGAAGUGCCUAACCAAUCAAAAUUUGUAUCUUCUAUGGAAUGUAAAGUUUUUUCCAAGUUUAACCAAAUUUACACACACUAAAACAAAGUAAUAAUAAGUUUUACAACGUUUGACAGACAGAAAUAUGAAACUUUGACAAGCUUUUACCGAGUUAAAACAAACACAAAACAAAGCAAUCUCAACAAAUGCAAAAAGGAUGGAAAACUUUCGCAAAGUUUUACCGAGUUACACAAAUAUAAAUAACAAAACUUUAACCGAGUUACCAUGUUACAAAAACUUGUAUUGGUUGACAAUGAUUGAUUUUUUUUGCCACUUGUAUUGGUUGCCAAUGGUCGAUUUGUUGUUCAUUGCUUAUUUCUCGCUUUGCUCAUCCCUACGAUAUUUUUUUCCUUAUUACUUCUACCGUCUUUCUCUCCUACACCCUUAUCCACACUUUUUGUUCAUCUCUCCACUACCUAAACCACCAUCCUUCUCACUUUGUUCCAUGUCUCUACUAUAAGAGAUCAGAUAAAGUUUCAUUUUUGUUCUUUGAAAGCAACACUUCGUAGAAAAACAUAACAUCAAAUUAAGUCAUCAUCAUAAAAUUCACAAAUUAUUACUAAGUUAUACAAUCUAAAAUAUUUAAAGUUUUACCAAGUUGUACAAAGUUUUAUAGUUAUAUCAAGUUUUACUAAGUUAUACCAUUUUGGGUUCGUUUUUUCUUCUCUUUCGAUGGAUAAUUCGUGAUUUGUUAUUUCGUAAUUUUUUUUCUGGAGAAAAGUUCGAUUUGUCUUUUAUUUGGAGAUUAUAUUUUCUCAUGUGAUAAAAGGAUGAAUUAAAAUAAGAUUGAUUUGUUUCAGUGAAAAAAUAGAAAGAAUGAGUAAAACUUGAAAAUACUUAGAUGUCUAGAUUUUUAUGUCUGGAUCCAAGUUUAACGGGUGGGUAUAGUUUGGGUUUGGAUAGUCCGCCUGGUAAAUUUGUAAAUAACUAGAUUUUGUCUUGUUGGUAGGUCUUUUAAUAAUUUUCGUGAUUUAAAUAAAUAUUAAAUUAAAAAGGAAAAAAUGGUGGAGUAUCCGAGAAUUUUUUUUUUCUUCCGAGAGUAAUGGAGAAAUUUAUUCAAAGCCUAAAGGAUCCACUCGAUCUGGUAAGUGGAAUUAAUGUUUGAGUGCCUUCCGGUGGUUUUAGCGGUUCCAAAAAGAUAAAGUUCGGAUAAUUUUUAUUUUUUUUCAAAAAAAGUGUUACUAUAUGUUUCCAAUGCAACUUUACGCAUUAAAUAUACUUUUUACCCUUUUAAAUAAUCAUUAAACUUUUAUUUAAAUCAAUUUAAUUUAGUUAAUUUUACAUUAAAUAAAAACAUAUUAGUAUAUUUUACAAUUUUUUUUAAUUUGCAUGAAAUAUGUCAUGAUAACAUUUUUUGCGAAACAGAGAGAGUAAUGUUUACUCUGUUUAGUAAAUUAGCGAGCUGAGAGAUGUCAUGGCUUUCUCUAAUCUUGCUUAGAUUUGAAAUCACCACGUAGACGUUAACAAUCAUAUACUUCAUUUGUUGGAAAAAAAAAUUUGUUGUUGUUUUCACGCAUGUUAAAUAACAUAUUAAAUUUAUGACAUAAAUAUAUCAUGUCGUGGGAUUAACAUAUUGAACUAAGUAAUUAAUUCAAUUGUUUUAUUUAAAAUUCAUAAUUUUAUUAAAUAAUAAACAUGUAUAAAAAUAGAAAUAAUAUAUUUGUUAAACAAUUAUUUUUUUUCAAAAACGUCUAUGUUAAUGGAAAAAAUGAGAGAGUAUGUACUUUGAUUUACUUCUUAAAAAGGCGAUAAUAAAUUAGGUUGCUAGUCCCAAUCAAUGUGCUUUUCUAUAACUAGGAAGAAUUUGAACUUUGAACCCUUAUCUCUCGUAUCUGUUUACCAAUCUGAAUUGAUACAAGAAAUAUGCGUAAAUUAUUACUUUAUAUCUCUUUCAGUUUAGUUGUCAUUGUAUAGUAAAAUUUUUCGUUUCAAAAUAAAUAUCGUUUUAUAAUUUCAAUGCAAUUUUGUUGAGUUUAUUUUCUAAUUUAUUUUUCUAUUAGUAGACUAUGAUUACGUGUUGAGUGGAAUAAGAGGAGGCACAACAAAAUCUCAAAGCCAGUAGAACACAUAGCAAAGUUGAUUGAUAAAUUGGUGGGGAACCGGAUUACAUUCCUUGGGUAUAUUUUGAAGCCUAAGCUGCGGGUUUUGAUGUGCAUGUGGUUCGAGUUGCGGUCCACUUAAUGUUUUGCGAAUUUUGUUUUAUAUUUUUACCACUAUAAACUAGUGGGAUUAUUGUACAUAUAUUCUUUUUGUGAUGAUCAAUAAAUUUAAAAUUUCAUCAAAAAAUAUGGUUAUGUGUAUUGUUAAUGUUGUUUUUAUUUAGUAAAUAUAAUUAAUAAAUAUUUUUCUUAAUUUGUAUGCACAAAUGUAAAAUAGCAAUUAAAAUAAAAACGAAAGGAGUAUUUUUACUAGGUAACAAAACCAUUGCAUGUGCUUCAACCGCUAGUCUACCAUGAGACGUUGUAUGUGCCUUCUUCUCUUUUAUUUUUCAUGCUAUACAUUUUAUAUUUUAUAUAAUCUAAUUUACUAACUUAGAGCCAUACCGACUAAUUCUUUGGUUCACCCCCUAGGUGAAUUUAGAGGUUCACUCAACCAAUAUGAUUUAGUUAUUUUAGAUUCAAUAUCUUUAAAAAAAAACCAAAUAAUAAGAAUUUGUGAAAUUAUAUUAUGUUUUUAAAAUAAAUAAAAAAUAAUAUUAAUUAUCAAUUUUUUUAAUAUUAUUAAAUUCGUUAGCAAAAUACUAAAUUUUAAACUCUAAAUUCUAAAUUCUAACCACUAAACCCUAAACCUUUGGAUAAAUUCUAAAUCCUUGGGAAAAUCCUAAACUCUAAACCAUUAAUUUUAAACCCUAAACCAAACUUUAAACCCUUAAUCCUAAACCCUAAGGGUUUAGGCUUUAGGAUUACGGGUGUAGGGUUUAGGAUUAAGGAUUUAGAGUUUAUGGUUUAGGAUUAAGGGUUUAGGAUUUUCCCAAGAGUUCAGGGUUUAUGGUUUAGCGUUCAGUGUUUAGAAUUUAGGGUUUAGGAUUUAGUAUUAGGGUUUAGGAUUAAGGGUUUCGGAUUUAGGGUUUGGUUUAGGGUUUAAAAUUAAGGGUUUUGGAUUUGCCAAGGGUUCAAGGUUUAUCCAAAGAUUUAGGGUCUAGUGUUUAGAGUUUAAGGUUUAGAGUUUAAUAUUUUACUAAUAGGUAUAACAAUACUAAAAAAUAUUUUUAUGGUAAUUACUAUUAAUUUUUUUAUUUUAAAAACAUAAAAUAAUUUCACAAAUUUU